AGAGUUUGAUCCUGGCUCAGAAUGAACGCUGGCGGCGUGCUUAACACAUGCAAGUUGGACGAGAAAGCUCUUCGGAGUGAGUAAAGUAGCGAACGGGUGAGUAACACGUGAGAAUCUACCCCCUGGAGAGGGAUACCCUUAAGAAAUUGAGGUUAAUCCCACAUAAGCUCCUUGCGGAGGAAAGGUGGCCUCUUUGCUGCCACCAGGGGAUGAGCUUGCGGCCUAUUAGCUAGUUGGUGGGGUAAAUGCCUACCAAGGCGAUGAUGGGUAGCCGGCCUGAGAGGGUGUACGGCCACAUUGGGACUGAGAUACGGCCCAGACUCCUACGGGAGGCAGCAGUGAGGAAUCUUGUGCAAUGGGCGAAAGCCUGACACAGCGACGCCGCGUGGAGGAUGAAGGUCUUUGGAUCGUAAACUUCUGUUGAACGGGAAGAAAGACUUAGGGUUAAUAGCCCUGGGGGAUGACUGUACCGUUAAAGAAAGUCCCGGCUAACUUCGUGCCAGCAGCCGCGGUAAUACGAGGGGGACAAGCGUUAUUCGGAGUUACUGGGCGUAAAGCGUGCGCAGGCGGCCUUAUAAGUCAGUUGUAAAAUUCCAUAGCUUAACUAUGGACUCGCGAUUGAUACUGUAGGGCUAGAGUGUGGGAGAGAGAAGCGGAAUUCUCGGAGUAGCGGUAAAAUGCGUAGAUCUCGAGAGGAACACCGAUGGCGAAAGCAGCUUCUUGGUCCACUACUGACGCUCAUGUACGAAAGCGUGGGGAGCAAACAGGAUUAGAUACCCUGGUAGUCCACGCCGUAAACGAUGAUCACUAGAUGUCUGGUUCCUUUGGGGACUGGGUGUCGAAGCUAACGCGUUAAGUGAUCCGCCUGGGGAGUACGGUCGCAAGAUUAAAACUCAAAGGAAUUGACGGGGGCCCGCACAAGCGGUGGAACAUGUGGUUUAAUUCGACGCUACGCGAGAAACCUUACCUAGGUUUGACAUGCGUAUGACAUCUAUGGAAACAUAGCCUUCUAGUUUACUAGACAUAUGCACAGGUGCUGCAUGGCUGUCGUCAGCUCGUGUCGUGAGAUGUUAGGUUAAGUCCUUUAACGAGCGCAACCCUUGUCGUUAGUUGCUAGCCUUUUAGGCGCACUCUAGCGAGACUGCCCGGGGAACCGGGAGGAAGGUGGGGAUGACGUCAAGUCCUCAUGGCCCUUAUGCCUAGGGCUACACACGUGUUACAAUGGCUGGUACAAAGGGGGAGCGAACCUGCGAGGGUAAGCAAAUCCCAUAAAGCCAGUCUAAGUUCGGAUUGGAGUCUGCAACUCGACUCCAUGAAGUUGAAAUCGCUAGUAAUCGCGUAUCAUAACGACGCGGUGAAUACGUUCACGGGCCUUGUACACACCGCCCGUCACAUUAUGAAAGUUGUUUGUACCCGAAGUCGUUUUGCGACGCCUAAGGUAUGGGCGGCGAUUGGGAUGAAGUCGAAACAAGGUAGCUGUAGGAGAACCUGCGGC
RNAcentral lists this ribosomal RNA (1495 nucleotides) under metagenome. RNAcentral describes it as "bacterial SSU rRNA". It matches the Rfam family "Bacterial small subunit ribosomal RNA". The record is from RNAcentral.